This 1453-nucleotide ribosomal RNA is filed under the name Streptococcus salivarius. RNAcentral describes it as "bacterial SSU rRNA". It matches the Rfam family "Bacterial small subunit ribosomal RNA". Lineage: Bacteria; Bacillati; Bacillota; Bacilli; Lactobacillales; Streptococcaceae. The record is from RNAcentral.
GACUGGGGGGGUGCUAUACAUGCAAGUAGAACGCUGAAGAGAGGAGCUUGCUCUUCUUGGAUGAGUUGCGAACGGGUGAGUAACGCGUAGGUAACCUGCCUUGUAGCGGGGGAUAACUAUUGGAAACGAUAGCUAAUACCGCAUAACAAUGGAUGACACAUGUCAUUUAUUUGAAAGGGGCAAUUGCUCCACUACAAGAUGGACCUGCGUUGUAUUAGCUAGUAGGUGAGGUAACGGCUCACCUAGGCGACGAUACAUAGCCGACCUGAGAGGGUGAUCGGCCACACUGGGACUGAGACACGGCCCAGACUCCUACGGGAGGCAGCAGUAGGGAAUCUUCGGCAAUGGGGGCAACCCUGACCGAGCAACGCCGCGUGAGUGAAGAAGGUUUUCGGAUCGUAAAGCUCUGUUGUAAGUCAAGAACGAGUGUGAGAGUGGAAAGUUCACACUGUGACGGUAGCUUACCAGAAAGGGACGGCUAACUACGUGCCAGCAGCCGCGGUAAUACGUAGGUCCCGAGCGUUGUCCGGAUUUAUUGGGCGUAAAGCGAGCGCAGGCGGUUUGAUAAGUCUGAAGUUAAAGGCUGUGGCUCAACCAUAGUUCGCUUUGGAAACUGUCAAACUUGAGUGCAGAAGGGGAGAGUGGAAUUCCAUGUGUAGCGGUGAAAUGCGUAGAUAUAUGGAGGAACACCGGUGGCGAAAGCGGCUCUCUGGUCUGUAACUGACGCUGAGGCUCGAAAGCGUGGGGAGCGAACAGGAUUAGAUACCCUGGUAGUCCACGCCGUAAACGAUGAGUGCUAGGUGUUGGAUCCUUUCCGGGAUUCAGUGCCGCAGCUAACGCAUUAAGCACUCCGCCUGGGGAGUACGACCGCAAGGUUGAAACUCAAAGGAAUUGACGGGGGCCCGCACAAGCGGUGGAGCAUGUGGUUUAAUUCGAAGCAACGCGAAGAACCUUACCAGGUCUUGACAUCCCGAUGCUAUUUCUAGAGAUAGAAAGUUACUUCGGUACAUCGGUGACAGGUGGUGCAUGGUUGUCGUCAGCUCGUGUCGUGAGAUGUUGGGUUAAGUCCCGCAACGAGCGCAACCCCUAUUGUUAGUUGCCAUCAUUCAGUUGGGCACUCUAGCGAGACUGCCGGUAAUAAACCGGAGGAAGGUGGGGAUGACGUCAAAUCAUCAUGCCCCUUAUGACCUGGGCUACACACGUGCUACAAUGGUUGGUACAACGAGUUGCGAGUCGGUGACGGCAAGCUAAUCUCUUAAAGCCAAUCUCAGUUCGGAUUGUAGGCUGCAACUCGCCUACAUGAAGUCGGAAUCGCUAGUAAUCGCGGAUCAGCACGCCGCGGUGAAUACGUUCCCGGGCCUUGUACACACCGCCCGUCACACCACGAGAGUUUGUAACACCCGAAGUCGGUGAGGUAACCUUUUGGAGCCAGCCGCCUAAGGUGGAUGGGUGG